RNAcentral lists this ribosomal RNA (578 nucleotides) under uncultured Spiroplasma sp. RNAcentral describes it as "bacterial SSU rRNA". It matches the Rfam family "Bacterial small subunit ribosomal RNA", at positions 131 to 697 of the family's 1533-position model. Lineage: Bacteria; Bacillati; Mycoplasmatota; Mollicutes; Entomoplasmatales; Spiroplasmataceae. The record is from RNAcentral.
AUUUAGUGGGGAAUAACUGUUGGAAACGACAGCUAAUACCGCAUAAUAUUGCUGGAUAAUUUCCAGUAAUGAAAGGAGCUUUCAAGCUCCGCUGAUUGAUGAGGAUGCGGCGCAUUAGCUAGUUGGUAGGGUAAUGGCCUACCAAGGCAAUGAUGCGUAGCCGAUCUGAGAGGAUGAACGGCCACAUUGGGACUGAGACACGGCCCAAACUUCUACGGAAGGCAGCAGUAGGGAAUUUUUCACAAUGGGCGAAAGCCUGAUGGAGCAAUGCCGCGUGACUGAUGAAGGUCUUCGGAUUGUAAAGGUCUGUUGUAAGGGAAGAAAUGGUAAAACAGGAAAUGGUUUUAUCUAUGACGGUACCUUACCAGAAAGCCACGGCUAACUAUGUGCCAGCAGCCGCGGUAAUACAUAGGUGGCAAGCGUUAUCCGGAUUUAUUGGGCGUAAAGGGUGCGUAGACGGUUUUGCAAGUCUGANGUUAAAUUUAGGAGCUCAACUCCUAAUCGCCUUGGAAACUACNAGACUAGAGUAUAGGAGAGGUUAGUGNAAUUCCAUGUGUAGCGGUGGANUGUGUAGAUAU